ACGCUCGACACCUACGGGAGGCAGCAGUGGGGAAUAUUGCACAAUGGGGGAAACCCUGAUGCAGCGACGCCGCGUGAGUGAAGAAGUAUUUCGGUAUGUAAAGCUCUAUCAGCAGGGAAGAAAAUGACGGUACCUGAGUAAGAAGCCCCGGCUAACUACGUGUCAGCAGCCGCGGUAAUCUGAGCGGGCUGGCAAGGC
This 198-nucleotide ribosomal RNA is filed under the name uncultured bacterium. RNAcentral describes it as "partial 16S ribosomal RNA". It matches the Rfam family "Bacterial small subunit ribosomal RNA", at positions 328 to 539 of the family's 1533-position model. The record is from RNAcentral.